CAGAAAAUGGAAUUUCUCUUUUCCACAUAGAAAUGCAAUAAUGACAGAAUUCAAUUCAAUAUUCAUCUGUAAACCAAAGCUUACUAGUUUACUAGUAAAUACUACCAUGGAACAUCUGCUGCCAAAAUUUCUACCUCAGUGCUCCUUGGGUAAAUGCAAGACUGUAUUUUUGCCAGACAAUUUCUACCUUAAUUUCAGAUGGAUCAAUUAUUCACAGCUUUCCAGAUUCUGCUUCUCUUGGUAAAAACAAGACAGAUUCAUCAAUUUGCCACAGAAAAUGCAAACAUUAGUCAUUAGUAAACAUGAAGAAUCAUUAUCACCCCUAUGCCUGAAGGGACAAGGAGAAGAAAUGUUUCACAAAACUCAGAAGCAAUAGCAAUGUGAUACUGGAAGAAAUGUCCUAAGGCAGGAGGAAGAAAGAGGGAGAAUAGCUUGACCAUGCUCCUCCAGCUCUCCAUCUUCUCAUCAGUGUCUCCCAUAAUCCAGAUAUAAGCCAAAGGACAAGACAGCUGUAGACACAGUCCACAGGUAUAUGCCUCCUGGGGGAAUGGUCAUAUGUAGACAAGAAUCAAGGGGAUUUGGAAUGGCAAAAUUAAAUAUCUGUCAGAGUAGGGCAUGUAGUUAGCCAACAUUUCUUAAUCUCUGACUAUAAUCAAAGGUCUUUGGAAACCAAAAUAAAUAACAGGCUACUCUCUUCAAAGAACCAAUCAGCCUAAUGAAGUAGACAUGAAAAAAAAAAAUCAAUCAGGGUAUUCCCACAUAAACAAUGAUUGAGCAUUUAUCAAAUAAAUGCUGGAAAAGAGUUGAAAACAAUAUGCAGAAAUAUUAUGUGGAAAAAAGAAAAAAAUAAUCAGAAAAUCCCUAUAUAAAUAAUUGCUUCAAACUAGUGAAGUUUUUAUUUUAGACUUUUGUUUUGCUCUCACAUUAUUUUCCCAUAAAGAUCCUUUGGGAAUGUCAUAUGUUG
RNAcentral lists this long non-coding RNA (964 nucleotides) under Marmota monax (woodchuck). Lineage: Eukaryota; Metazoa; Chordata; Mammalia; Rodentia; Sciuridae. The record is from RNAcentral.